GAUGAAGAACGUAGCGAAAAGCGAUAAGUAAUGCGAAUUGCAGAAUUUCCGUGAGUCAUCGAAUCUUUGAACGCACAUUGCGCCCAUUGGCAUUCCGAUGGGCAUGCCUGUUCGAGCGUCAUUAUCCUCCCUCAAACUCGGGUUUGGUGUUGGACCCAAGUUGUGCGAUGAACAACUGGUCUUAAAGACAAUGACGGCGUCCGUGGGACCCUCGAUGCAACGAGCUUUAAGGAGCACGCGUCGAGUAUUAAAAGGACCCUCCGGGCCGAUCUACCUCUCUUUCUCAGGUUGACCUCGGAUCAGGUAGGAAUACCCGCUGAACUUAAGCAUAUCAAUAAGCGGAGGA
RNAcentral lists this unclassified non-coding RNA (346 nucleotides) under soil metagenome. Its description in RNAcentral is "partial contains 5.8S ribosomal RNA, internal transcribed spacer 2, and large subunit ribosomal RNA". The stretch from base 1 to 121 matches the Rfam family "5.8S ribosomal RNA", at positions 35 to 154 of the family's 154-position model. The record is from RNAcentral.